This 434-nucleotide ribosomal RNA is filed under the name uncultured bacterium. Its description in RNAcentral is "partial 16S ribosomal RNA". It matches the Rfam family "Bacterial small subunit ribosomal RNA", at positions 29 to 506 of the family's 1533-position model. The record is from RNAcentral.
AGCGAACGCUGGCGGCAGGCUUAACACAUGCAAGUCGAGCGGGCACUUUCGGGUGUCAGCGGCGGACGGGUGAGUAACGCGUGGGAACGUGCCCUCUGGUUCGGAAUAACUCAGGGAAACUUGAGCUAAUACCGGAUACGCCCUUUUGGGGAAAGGCUUGCUGCCGGAGGAUCGGCCCGCGUCUGAUUAGCUAGUUGGUGAGGUAACGGCUCACCAAGGCGACGAUCAGUAGCUGGUCUGAGAGGAUGAUCAGCCACACUGGGACUGAGACACGGCCCAGACUCCUACGGGAGGCAGCAGUGGGGAAUAUUGGACAAUGGGCGCAAGCCUGAUCCAGCCAUGCCGCGUGAGUGAUGAAGGCCUUAGGGUUGUAAAGCUCUUUUAUCCGGGACGAUAAGGACGGUACCGGAGGAAUAAGCCCCGGCUAACUUCGU